CCCCCAAAAAAACAAAAAGCGGGCCCGUAAUUAUCCACCUGUGCCAGGAGACUUACCAGCUUCUGUGCUACGAUGUUGUAGUGACUGAAGGACUGGAGCAGGGCCACAAAGCAAACCUUACAGCCAGCUGGGGGAGAAG
This is a long non-coding RNA of Oxyura jamaicensis (ruddy duck), 139 nucleotides long. RefSeq lists it as uncharacterized. The transcript is spliced from 3 exons. The record is from RefSeq and is a predicted model, not a curated record. NCBI's taxonomy places the organism in Eukaryota, Metazoa, Chordata, Aves, Anseriformes, Anatidae.